RNAcentral lists this ribosomal RNA (208 nucleotides) under uncultured bacterium. RNAcentral describes it as "partial 16S ribosomal RNA". It matches the Rfam family "Bacterial small subunit ribosomal RNA", at positions 568 to 774 of the family's 1533-position model. The record is from RNAcentral.
CACGUAGGCGGUUUCUUAAGUCGGGGGUGAAAUCCUGGAGCUCAACUCCAGAACUGCCUUUGAUACUGGGAGACUUCGAGUCCGGGAGAGGUGAGUGGAACUGCGAGUGUAGAGGUGAAAUUCGUAGAUAUUCGCAAGAACACCAGUGGCGAAGGCGGCUCACUGGCCCGGUACUGACGCUGAGGUGCGAAAGCGUGGGGAGCAAACA